Molecule: long non-coding RNA, 369 nt
Organism: Ornithodoros turicata
Lineage: Eukaryota; Metazoa; Arthropoda; Arachnida; Ixodida; Argasidae
Exons: 3
Source: RefSeq, a predicted model, not a curated record
ACCUGCAGCUGUCGGAAAACUUCUAUUGAGUGUAGCAUACGCCUAGCGCGCUUACAACAAGCAUACGCGUUACAAAUAGUUUGCCGUUGGUGUCUCUGGUUAAAACCCUUGAGCUGUAUUCCCAUCGACUUCCGCAACGAGAUGCGAAAAGUAACACUGGUGUUGCUGAUGAUGUCCUUCACUCCAGUCGUUCACCUCCACCCGGAUGACAAGUACGACUGUCCCUACCACGAACGUGAAUGUGACACGACAUGCAAGCUACUUGGCUUCAUCGGUGGCCACUGUAGCGGCUUCGAAAACAUUUGGUGCAAAUGUGAAUUCAAACCUUGGUCGUCCAAAGAGCCAAAUAAAGAAGAGAUCGUCUUCUGA